AUGCGCCGCCGCCGCGCGCCGCCACCCCUCGCCCCGCCGUCGCGUGCCGCCAGCCCACUUCCCCUUCCUACGCAUGCUGCUGUGAGGUACGAGGCGGAGGACGGAGCGGCGACACACGCGCUAGGGAUGCAGAGGACAGGCACAACGGCGACGCAAGGUGGUGGUCAUGGCGGUGAUGCGCCUAUCAUCUUACAUGUCAAGCACCAAACCGACACCGCGGCUUCUGCUGCUGGUGCUAGUGUGGAUGUUAGCAAGUUCAACUACCAGCCUACGCCGAGUUUAGGUACAUUGUCGUGGACGGCCAAGUUCAGGGAUGCCUCUGUGCCUAAGGGGAAUUAA
RNAcentral lists this ribosomal RNA (339 nucleotides) under Triticum aestivum (bread wheat). RNAcentral describes it as "partial small subunit ribosomal RNA". Lineage: Eukaryota; Viridiplantae; Streptophyta; Magnoliopsida; Poales; Poaceae. The record is from RNAcentral.